CAUUAGCCCAGAUUGAAAUGAAAAGCCUUUUGUGAAAAAAGCCAUAUUUUUUUGCAGGUACAGAGCGACCAGCGGAAGCUCCUGGAACUGCUUAAAAAAUAGGCAUUUUGAACAAAAGCUUGAAAUGGAAAGCUGGAUCAGCU
Molecule: small RNA, 143 nt
Filed under: Flavobacterium sp. 245
Lineage: Bacteria; Pseudomonadati; Bacteroidota; Flavobacteriia; Flavobacteriales; Flavobacteriaceae
Description: Flavo-1 RNA
Rfam family: Flavo-1 RNA
Source: RNAcentral